This is a long non-coding RNA of Pomacea canaliculata, 4269 nucleotides long. RefSeq lists it as uncharacterized. The record is from RefSeq and is a predicted model, not a curated record. Lineage: Eukaryota; Metazoa; Mollusca; Gastropoda; Architaenioglossa; Ampullariidae. The transcript has 3 exons.
UACGGUCAUCAAAGUGUGAUUCCUGGAGGUGUAACUUGUGCUAGCAGGAUAUAUCCUGUGCAACCCUGUGUGAACAUUUUUUGAAAAUUCAAUUACACCUACCUAAUAAUUUUCUUUGGAUUACAUAAUAAGUGACUGUUUAUGCAGGAUUCAAAUGUAAACAUUUUUGUUCCACACAGUUUGAUCUCUUAUUAUUAGUUUCAAUUUUUUUUCUAACUUUUACAGUUAUUUUUUUAUGAUUUUUUGAAAUUGGUCAAUUUCCAUGCGCACAGGGUAAUGUGACCUAGUAGAAGCCUUAAGCAGCGAUUGAGUUAAUGACCGCAAUGAGGUAAACCAAACUACUGAAAUGACAAUGACCAUUAACCAAAACAGUCACCCACCUUAGACAGCAGAUUCUGUGACAGAGACCUGUGACAAUCUUUCAGCUGUCGUCAUGUCUCUAAUGAGGAAAGUAAAUGAAUACAGCAAUAAGAUUAUGGAAAAUAAAAACCUAAAAGAAAGGAUAAUGCCAGUGUUGAUAGCUAUGCCACAAACCCUGUCAGGACUGAUGGACUUACUACUGCAUGGUUAGCACGCAGGUGAAGUUUAUGCAGUGGAACAGUCAGGCACUAACUAGUAAUAAACAUGAACUAUUAAACUUCAUUAAAAGUAAUCUUCCUGCAGGAAGUAAACUUCACCCGAGGGCCAGUACCACUUCCAGGCUAUAAAUUCCCACCUAUGUACAAGUCAAACCGCUCAAAGGAGGAGGAGGAGUAGAUAUCUAUGUCAAAAGUUGAAUUGACAGUCACUGAAGUAUUCCACCAGAAAUAGAGAUAAUCAUAGCUGAAAUCACUUUGACAUCAGGUAAAAAAACUUAAGAUAGCCAACAUAUACAUCCCUAGCACGAAUAAAUACAACAAUAACAACAGAUGAUCUAACCAAUGUCUUCCUAUCAGCUAAUAUAAUCCUAGGGGACUUUAACGCUAAAAACCCACUCUGGGAUAGGGACAAAUUAAAAGCAGACAAAGGAGGCAAAAUGUUAGAAUAAGCAAUGAAUAUUUCUAAUAUGUGUUUAUUAAAUAAUGGUCAACCCACUCAUGUUUACUGUCAGGGUGACACAGACUCAACUUCAGCCAUAGACCUAUCGGUAUGCACUCCAGAACUGGCGAAUAUCCUGAAAUGGGAAGUUUAUGAGGAAGAUACCCUAGUGAGUGACCACUUCCCAAUCAUGAUCUCCAUGCAAAUAACCAAACUACAUCGCCCAAACCUUUAAACUUUCAGAAUUAAUGCAAAAAAAAACUAACUGGAGUCUGUUCCAGUCAAUAACAUUACUGAAUGAUAUAUGGCUUCCUGGCGAUGACCAAGGCACUAAGACAGACAAACUGACAAACAGCAUCAUUAUAGCUGCCAAAUAGGCAACACCAAGAGGCAUCGGCAGGGAAUAUAAAUAUGCUGGUCUAGCCUGGUGGAAUAAAGACUGUUAAAAAGGCGAUUAGAAACAGAAAACAAAUUAAAGAUAUGGAAAAAAAUAAAACAAUAGAGAACAGAGUAGAAUACAGGAAAUCAAAGUCAAUAGCAAAAAAACAAAAAACAACUAUCCUACAAGCCAAACAAGAGGACUGGCACAGGUUUACAGAAUCUUUGAAUCUAAACGCCAACCUGACAGCUGGAAAAAGGUUAAACGACUUAAUCAGGGCCCCAGAUCUACCAUGCCAACCCUGUUGAAAGAUGGUUUGAAAUAUGAAACAAACCAAGAAAAAGCUAACCUCUUAGUGGAACAAUUCCAAGAAGCUAUAGUUCUGACUAUAAUCUAGACCCAGACGCUGAUUUUUUUUUCCUAAACGUCCCAGUGAAAAAUAGCAUGGAACUUUAUGGCAAAUUUUUUUAAAAAUCCCGACGCGCGAUCUGGAGAUCACAGUCACAACCACUGGAAUUAUUCCUGUGGUGUUCAUAUUUACUACUGUAAAAGUGAUGCAAACAGAAUGUGUUAUAUUAAGUUUGUAUUUAUAUGUAUUUAUAAUGCUUGAUUAGCCAAAUGCUAUAAAAUUACAGACAAAAUUCUUAUCUCAUUAUUUUAAAUUUUCCAGGAAAUUUUACCACUUGGGUACAGGUAUCAAGUGACAUAAUUUCAACCAAAAUCGGAGGAAAAAGAAGUCCUGCUGGCAAUAUUUAAUACAGAUGGUGAAGCAAGGCUACCUUGUGUGCCAGCAAAGGAGGGGGGCAAAAAUAUUUAUAAACAAUGCCAGCACAAUACCAACCCGGUUUCUGCUACAGCCAACAGCCAUCUUGGUUCCAAGAAUUCAGAAUGUCCAGCUCUGCUAACAACUGCUGUAUGGAGACAGCUUGGGAAACUCAGCAGAGCAAAGAACAUAAACCCACUUUUGAAAGAUUUCCCUACAUGCCUUGAAUUGAACACACUCACAAUCAUAGUCUGUAUAGUGCUGAUUCUCUACAUCAUAGGGAUGUAAAUGAUGAGACAAUCGCCAAAUUCAAGGGGCUUUUUUCAAAGGGCCACUCUCCAUCUUCAGCACUUGAAAUUCAUAAGAUGGAUCUCCAUAUGGAACAUGGAGUAAAUUACAUUUAUCAGGCUGCUGACAGAGCUUUUUGUCCUGAUCUGCAGUUUUGCCACAGGCUGUACAGGAAAAUAUUUGAAGAGAAAUACUCUCCAACCUCUUCAAAACAGUUGAUUGACAGCCUAGAGACAGCUUGUAGGACAUUCAAUGCAGAACAAAAUGGGGAGUUCUGCAAGGUAAAACAAACAGCAUCAGGGAAGAUAGCCAUAGCUGUCUGCACUCCCCUCAUGAUGAGAAUGCACACACUGCACCGUGCAAGUGGUGAACUCGUUUUUAUUGAUGCCUCAGGGGGGUGGACAGGUAUGACUUCAGAGUUUUCCUUCUUUUCACUCACAGUGUUGCAGGUAGACUCCCUUUAGGCUACCUUAUUGUUUCUUCUGAAGCAACAGAAGUAAUAACAAAUGCUUUGUUACUGUAUAAAGAACUUUUGCCAUCUGAUGCUUUUUUUGGAAGAGGUAAUAGACGACCUCAGGUGUACCUCACAGAUGACAGUAGUGCUGAAAGGCAGAGCCUGCAAGCUACAUUCCCUGAAGCAACCUUUCUUCUUCUUCUACAAAUAGACUCAGUUUUGUGUAUAGAUAAUUACUCUGUAGAUAUAUGUAUUACUAACACUUUUUGAUGCUUUAGUACAACUGUAUGUAACCUUUCAUGCAAAUAUGGGGUUGAGAAAAGCAAUGAGCUGAUAUAUAAUUACCAUUAUUUCAAUGCUAUGUUCAUUCACUAAAAGUUACUACAAAUGGAUAACAACAUGAGAAACUGCAGUAACAAUUAUUUAAUGCUGUUGAAUCUUCAACAAAAUUGAGUAAAGAACAUUUGAGAACAUUACAUUAUGUGAAAUGUAUAUUUAUGCAAAAGAAAUGCCAUCUAAAUAAUGUUGGGUAUGAAUACCACUUUAUACUUUUAUGGGAGUUUUUGAAAAGAGCAUGAUGUAAAUUAUUUUGCAAAUUCUGCUGAGAUAAUCCAAUCUCAUACAAGUUUAAAUAUCUGGUAGCACUAAGAAAGAUGUUUUAACAAAAUUUAUAAGAAUAAUCCAAUUCCCAAUAUCAUAGCAAAUUCAGUGAAAAACAAUUAAGAUCAAAGUUGUUAUUGUGUACAUAGUGAACAUUUAAUUACUUUGUCUUCAUUUACUUUCUGUGUAUUAUAGUUCUUCAAAUAUACUGUGCAUAUAUCACAUAUUUCAUUAUUGUGUAUCAUACAGUUUGUUCUCUUAGGGUCCUGAUUAAAUUAUUGGGACUUUGAGUAUACAUGUUUCAGUAUGGUUUUACAAAUGUCUGACAGAAUGAAAGCCAGGGUGGACCAAAAACUUUUUUGUUAUUGCUGACAAAUGAUAAAUCUUUAUUUACUAGGGUAACAGAAUAAGCAAAAGUUGAGUGUUGUUUUUUUUUUUUUUUUUUUUGUUUUUUUUUUACAUCUAGCCCUCUAUGAAUAUAUGAGAAACGUAUAUUAUGCAUUUUAUAUGAGAACGCUUUUUUUCAUUUUUUUAGAAAGGAAGCGACUGAAGUCCUUGCUUAGCGUAGCUUUUGCCUUUGCCUUUCAGUUAGUGCAUAGCUUUACUAAAAAUGUCACCACUUACACUAUACAUCAGCCCUUUACUUUUCGUAUGUUUUAAACGUGAACUUUACAUAUACCCAUCGAUCGCUGAAUACUAGCUCGAUCGUUUGAAAUAACACAUCACUUCGCAAAAGCGUAUCCAACAACUUAAUCUCGCAGUAGCUAG